UGAACCAACUGAGCUACAAGCCCUCCGGGAUAAACCGGAAAACCUUCCCGGGCAUCCUCUUAUAAAACGCUUAAAUUUUAUCAAGGAAAGCGUUUUUCAAAGCCCACGGUGGACUUGUUUUGUCUAGAUCGCCAGAAGGCUUGGGAUCAUCAUCUGAAGAAAGAGAAACGAAGAA
RNAcentral lists this unclassified non-coding RNA (175 nucleotides) under uncultured Bartonella sp. RNAcentral's name for it is "partial 16S-23S ribosomal RNA intergenic spacer". Lineage: Bacteria; Pseudomonadati; Pseudomonadota; Alphaproteobacteria; Hyphomicrobiales; Bartonellaceae. The record is from RNAcentral.